This 496-nucleotide ribosomal RNA is filed under the name uncultured bacterium. Its description in RNAcentral is "partial 16S ribosomal RNA". It matches the Rfam family "Bacterial small subunit ribosomal RNA", at positions 28 to 506 of the family's 1533-position model. The record is from RNAcentral.
GAUGAACGCUGGCGGCGUGCCUAAUACAUGCAAGUCGAGCGAACAGAUAAGGAGCUUGCUCCUUUGACGUUAGCGGCGGACGGGUGAGUAACACGUGGGUAACCUACCUAUAAGACUGGGAUAACUUCGGGAAACCGGAGCUAAUACCGGAUAAUAUUUCGAACCGCAUGGUUCGAUAGUGAAAGAUGCUUUUGCUAUCACUUAUAGAUGGACCCGCUCCGUAUUAGCGAGUGGGUAAGGUAACGGCUUACCAAGGAGGAGAUACGUAGCCGACCUGAGAGGGUGAUCGGCCACAGUGAAAGUGAGACACGGUCCAGACUCCCACGGGGGGCAGCAGUGGGAAAUCUGCCGCAAUGGGCGAAAGCCUGACGGAGCAACGCCGCGUGAGUGAAGAAGGUCUUCGGAGCGUAACACUCUGUGAUGAGGGAAGAACAGGCGUGUAAGUAACUGUGCACGUCUUGACGGUACCUAAUCAGAAAGCAACGGCUAACUACGU